AUAUUACCCGGGACAGGAGUCCCCUGAUCACGAAAGGGGGUUUUCCCCCGGGCGAGGCACCAAACCCUUGCACUCCCCGGGGGCGGACCCCCCGGCCAUUUAAACCCAAAAUGGUUAACUCAAGGGGCGCAAUUUUUUUUAGCGGGGGACUGCGUUCCCCUAUCCCCAA
This is a small nuclear RNA of Penaeus monodon (black tiger shrimp), 169 nucleotides long. RefSeq annotates it as U1 spliceosomal RNA. The record is from RefSeq and is a predicted model, not a curated record. The transcript has a single exon. NCBI's taxonomy places the organism in Eukaryota, Metazoa, Arthropoda, Malacostraca, Decapoda, Penaeidae.